AUGAAUGCUGGCGGCGUGCCUUAGGCAUGCAAGUCGACCGACGUGCUCGCAAGAGCGACGAGGGGCGGACGGUGUGAGUAACACGUGGGAAUCUACCCUAAAGUGGAGGAUAACUAGCCGAAAGGUUAGCUAAUACUGCAUGUGACCGCAAGGUCAAAGCUCUUAACUGGGCGCUUUAGGAUGAGCCUGCGGCCUAUCAGCUAGUUGGUGGGGUAAAGGCCUACCAAGGCGACGACGGGUAGCUGGUCUGAGAGGAUGGUCAGCCACAAUGGCACUGAGACACGGGCCAUACACCUACGGGGUGGCAGCAACCGGGAAUUUUCGGCAAUGGGGGAAACCCUGACCGAGCGACGCCGCGUGAAGGAUGAAGGCCUCCGGGUUGUAAACUUCUUUUGCAUGGGACUAACACUGACGGUACCAUGAGAAUAAGCACCUGCUAACCACGUGCCAGCAGCCGCGGUGAGACGUGGGGUGCAAGCAUUAUCCGGAAUUACUGGGCGUAAAGAGUUCUGUAGGCGCCUAAUUAAGUUCUCAUUUAAAUCUCCAGGCUCAACCUGGAUUUCGGUGAGAAAACUAAUAAGGUUGAGAAUAGUAGGGACUUGGGGAACAAAUGGUGGAGCAGUGAAAUGCGUUGAUAUCAUUUGGAACACCAAAGGCGAAGGCACCAAGUUGGGCUAUUUCUGACGCUGAGAGACGAAAGCGUGGGGAGCAAAACGGAUUAGAUACCCGUGUAGUCCACGCCGUAAACGAUGGAUACUAGAUAUUAUCGGUAUUGACCCCGGUAGUGUCGUAAGCUAACGCGUUAAGUAUCCCGCCUGGGGAGUACGGUCGCAAGGCUAAAACUCAAAGGAAUUGACGGGGACCCGCACAAGCAGGGGAACGUGUGGUUUAAUUCGAGACAAAACGAAGAACCUCACCAGGGUUUGACAUGUAUGUUUUAGGAUCCAGAAAUGGAAACAAACCGCAAGGUAGCAUACACAGGUGCUGCAUGGCUGUCGUCAGCUCGUGUCGUGAGAUGUCGGGUUAAGUCCCACAACGAGCGCAACCCCCAUCACUAGUUGUAUCACUCUAGUGAAACUGCCUCUUACAAAAGAGGAGGAAGGUGGGGAUGAUGUCAAGUCAGCAUAGCCCUUAUGUCCUGGGCCACACACACGUUACAAUGGGAGUAAACAAAGGGCUGCGAAGUCGCGAGGCGGAGCUAAUCCCUUAAAACCUCCCUCAGUUCAGAUAGGAGUCUGCAACUCGACUCCUUGAAGCCGGACUUGCUAGUAAUCGCAGAUCAGCAUGCUGCGGUGAUACGUUCCUCGGGUCUUGCACACA
This 1320-nucleotide ribosomal RNA is filed under the name uncultured bacterium. Its description in RNAcentral is "bacterial SSU rRNA". It matches the Rfam family "Bacterial small subunit ribosomal RNA", at positions 29 to 1389 of the family's 1533-position model. The record is from RNAcentral.